UCCAAACAAAAGUUAUACUCUCUUUCUCUCUCUACUUUCUCUCUCUAAACGCAAAGCGAGAUGAGAUGCUAAUCUCCCGCUCAUAACUCUCUCUAUCUCUCGUGCCCUCGAUCUCAUCGCCCUCCUCUCUCUCUCUCUCUUCUCACUCUGUAUCAUGUAUAAGUUAAUUGUUGUUUGUUGAAAAUCGCUGAAGACUUUCGAGAGAUUUACAGAGCCAUAUGCAUUUGGGUCUCUCCAACUGAGUUAUAAUCUUGGAUCUAGAUUUGCUGCAUUCUUGAGGUGUGUGAAGUUUUUUCAUGCUUAAUUAAUUAUGAUUAAUUGCUUCAAAUUGACAAGUUUGUGAUUAGAUUUGAAUUGCUGUGUUUCUCUUUAAGGUGUAAUGGUUUUGUUUCUUGCAUUGUGAGCAUUUCAAGCCGAGGCAUGAUGAAAUUGGGCUUCAUUUUGGAUUUGGUAGAUUGAAAGUUGAGAAUUAUAGUUUUGAUUAUUUAUUGAACCAUUGCCUUCCCUUUAAGGUAUUAUAGUUCCAUUUCUGAGCAAUUGAAGCAUUUCAAAGAAGGUAAGGUGGAAUUCAGUGUUCCUAUUGAAUUUUGUAGCUUGAAAUUUAUAAUUUGGUGAUCAGCAUUGAAUUAUCUAUGCUCUUUUUAAGGAAUGAUAAUUUCAUUUCUUGCA
This is a long non-coding RNA of Vitis riparia (riverbank grape), 669 nucleotides long. RefSeq lists it as uncharacterized. The record is from RefSeq and is a predicted model, not a curated record. The transcript has 2 exons. NCBI's taxonomy places the organism in Eukaryota, Viridiplantae, Streptophyta, Magnoliopsida, Vitales, Vitaceae.